RNAcentral lists this ribosomal RNA (169 nucleotides) under Coralliozetus springeri. Its description in RNAcentral is "partial small subunit ribosomal RNA". The record is from RNAcentral. Lineage: Eukaryota; Metazoa; Chordata; Actinopteri; Blenniiformes; Chaenopsidae.
AACCGCGGUUAUACGAGAGGCCCAAAUCGAUUUUUCACGGCACAAAGAGUGAUUAUAAUGUUCGAAUAAACUAAAGCCAAAUGAUUUCAGGACUGUUGUACGUUUACGAAACUAAGAGGCACACUUACGAAAGUAGCUUUAUAUAACUAAAAUCACGAAAGCUGUGGUA